Camellia sinensis is the source of this 805-nucleotide non-coding RNA. The record is from RefSeq and is a predicted model, not a curated record. Lineage: Eukaryota; Viridiplantae; Streptophyta; Magnoliopsida; Ericales; Theaceae.
ACUAAUUGUUUGCGAAAGCAAGUGCCUCAUACGUCAAACUUGUUGGGUUAAUUUUUCUGGGCUGUUUUGGAGUCACCUGCCUUUGUAGUGUAGUUCAAUUGUCCAUUUUGGGAUAUUUGGAAAAUUAAACAAAAUAAAUUCGCCAUGGCUCUUAUCCUAACCAUUUUAACAUUGUCCCCUUGGAUACUAGUAUUUAUGGUUGUCAGAAGUCAAUUCUUCUUUGAAGAUGAUCCACAAACCUACUUGAAAACUAUAUUACCUUGAUGCAAUAGACUAACACACUACUUCUAGGUGGUAUUUUCCAAUAGCAUCAUUAUCCAUCAUUUUAAUUGAUCUUGUUAUUGGGCCUUUUGCAUUUGCAUAACCAAUUCCUCAUGUUAAAUAGUUUAUCCAGUAUGCUUGAAUCUUUAUUCACUAAUUCAGUUCUCUCGGGAUUUUUUCUACAUUAGCAGAACAACUACUCUGCACCUCAUGUUCCGCAAAAUGUUAAUGCAUGUCCAACACUAUUUGUGGCAAAUUUGGGGCCAACUUGUUCAGAGCAAGAGCUAAUUCAAGUCUUUUCAAGUUGCCAUGGAUUUAUAAAAUUGAAGAUGCAGAGCACAUAUGGAACUCCGGUGGCAUUUGUUGAUUUUCAGAUACUUUGUUACUGUCAUUGAAAAGCUAAAACAAGAACUCAUGAUGGGUCCAUGUUUGUAUGUCUUUCAUUAGUUAAUAUAAUUUUUGUUGUGGUACAGAAGUUGUAGGUGUACAAUUAAUUUGGUUAUUCCUGUAUUAUGUAUGGAAUUAAAAUAUUGACGUUGGAUUA